Molecule: ribosomal RNA, 39 nt
Filed under: uncultured stramenopile
Lineage: Eukaryota
Description: partial 5.8S ribosomal RNA
Source: RNAcentral
CUUACAACUUUUAGCAACGGAUGUCUAGGUUCUCGCAAC